This 68-nucleotide transfer RNA is filed under the name Trimma cana (candycane pygmy goby). RNAcentral describes it as "tRNA-Ser". The record is from RNAcentral. Lineage: Eukaryota; Metazoa; Chordata; Actinopteri; Gobiiformes; Gobiidae.
GAGAGAGGCAAGCUAGCAGCGAAGACUGCUACUCUUCGUAACCCCGGUUGAAUUCCGGCGCUCCCUCG